GUAGGUGGCAAGUGUUGUCCGGAAUUAUUGGGCGUAAAGCGCGCGCAGGCGGUUCUUUAAGUCUGAUGUGAAAGCCCACGGGCUCAACCGUGGAGGGUCAUUGGAAACUGGAGAACUUGAGUACAGAAGAGGAAAGCGGAAUUCCACGUGUAGCGGUGAAAUGCGUAGAGAUGUGGAGGAACACCAGUGGCGAAGGCGGCUUUCUGGUCUGUAACUGACGCUGAGGCGCGAAAGCGUGGGGAGCAAACAGGAUUAGAUACCCUGGUAGUCCACGCCGUAAACGAUGAGUGCUAAGUGUUAGGGGGUUUCCGCCCCUUAGUGCUGCAGCUAACGCAUUAAGCACUCCGCCUGGGGAGUACGGCCGCAAGGCUG
RNAcentral lists this ribosomal RNA (372 nucleotides) under uncultured organism. Its description in RNAcentral is "partial 16S ribosomal RNA". It matches the Rfam family "Bacterial small subunit ribosomal RNA", at positions 527 to 896 of the family's 1533-position model. The record is from RNAcentral.